This 297-nucleotide long non-coding RNA is filed under the name Carica papaya (papaya). RNAcentral describes it as "long non-coding RNA (CPAP_LNC007879)". Lineage: Eukaryota; Viridiplantae; Streptophyta; Magnoliopsida; Brassicales; Caricaceae. The record is from RNAcentral.
UCCCCCCAGUGAUCGAAUGACGUGGCCAAGCCUGUAGCUCAAGGUUGUGUGUACCACCUAGAUGAACCCGGUGCUCUCCCCCACUUCUGUUCUCAUCCAGGGUAUGCUUUCUAUUCAUGAUACUUUUGUUAAGGAUUUGAUCGACACAGGUGCUACUCAUUCUUUUAUUUCUUGUACAUUUGCUUGUAAGCUUGAUAUUAGGCCAAAACCUUUAGCAAAAAAAUUAACGGUAGAAACUCCCUCUAGGGGAUUACUAGAAGCUCACUGUGUAUAUAAAGAUUGUAAGAUAAAGGCUUC